UACGUAGGUGGCAAGUGUUAUCCGGAUUUAUUGGGCGUAAAGGGAACGCAGGCGGUCUUUUAAGUCUGAUGUGAAAGCCUUCGGCUUAACCGGAGUAGUGCAUUGGAAACUGGGAGACUUGAGUGCAGAAGAGGAGAGUGGAACUCCAUGUGUAGCGGUGAAAUGCGUAGAUAUAUGGAAGAACACCAGUGGCGAAAGCGGCUCUCUGGCCUGUAACUGACACUGAGGCUCGAAAGCGUGGGGAGCAAACAGG
Molecule: ribosomal RNA, 253 nt
Filed under: uncultured bacterium
Lineage: Bacteria
Description: partial 16S ribosomal RNA
Rfam family: Bacterial small subunit ribosomal RNA
Source: RNAcentral